GCUCAUUUCUAGAAAUCCAAAAGGUUUAAAAAUGUCUUUUGUUGUUGUUGUUGUUGUGGUAAACCAUCUUUACUCCAUGAUCUCUGAAUAAUUCACAUCACUUUGAUCAGGUUUUCAUCUGAUGGGAUUCGGUGAGCUUGCAGGAUACCAUGUGGCGUAAUGCAGCAUUCCUGCUCUUCUGGGGGAACAGUUUCAAGACAAGCAAUGACACCUGAUUCAAAGCCCACAUCUAUGAACACGCCCUCAAUGUAUCUGACCACUCAAGAAAAUCUGAAAACGAACACAAACGCCUCCUUAAACCCAUUUUCUCCAGCAUCUCCUCUCACUGCCACAAGCAAUGACCCUAAACCUGUCACCACUCCAUUAGCCGAGGAACACAAAGGCUCAACUGUGGGCAUAUCAAUUCAAACAGCGCUAAAGAGGUCUGAUUCAGAAGGCACUACAAUCACAGACACUUGGUCAAACAGCAUAUCUUCAACACCAGCAGGUCUAACAAACCCACCAUUAUCAAGCAACACCAGCAGAGACGGAAACGCAGAUGAUUCUGCAAACUCAGUGAAAAGCACCAUUGUUUUUGUCUUCAACAUUCCCAAAGUACCUGUGUUUAAAACAAUCACCUUCAAUCACCCACUGGUUAAUCAAGUCACAGUCAUGAACACAGUUUUAAGACCAUGAAACGGUCACAUAAAAUGACUUAAAAGCAAAGUGUGUGAUUCAGAGAGCAUAUAUUUGGCUCCUUGUGUACGUGACAAUUGUGAAAGAGUCAAUAAGAGAAACUUCCAGCUAAAUGCAUCUUAAUGGAGAGAGAUUGGGAAUAUAAGGAAUGUAGAAGCCGAAAUGUUUUUGUGGUUACUUAACAGACAGGAAGGCAAUGUCAAUUAUUUCAACGUCAAGCAGAUCAUACUGUAUGACUACAUGCUUUAAAACAAGCCAACAAACAAAAAAAAAGAUUGAAACCAAAACAAAUGAGAUGGAAGAACAGGUGUAAUGUUUUAUGAAGACUAACUUUCAUUUCAACAAUCCAGGUAGGGGCAAACAAUUGACGCGUGAGUCUGUAGCAUAGCUUCUUAAUCAUUUAUUUUCGCAAAACAACAAUCCAUAAGAUCAACAGUUGAACCAUAUCUUCACCGCUAAACAUUAGCACACACAGCCACAUGAACACACGGUCUGAAAAUCGCAUCCGCUUCCCCCUACUCACCCCACCUACUUCCUUACCUACACUAAAUACACAAUUGCAAUAAUGUAAUAAGAGUCUCAAUUGAAAAUUUCAUAACAUUCAAUCCAAAUACUCAAACACAAAUAAUAAUGAUCAAACAUAAACUUAAUUAUAUUCAAAUUAGUAAAUCAGUCCAUUCAGUCCAAAAUAUGAAAAUAGAAAAAGAAAUGGCUCCAACAGGUUUUAUAUGUUAGUUUGUAUUCUAUUCGCUGUAGUGUUACAGGUUUAAAUUAUGCAAUGUUUACACUCAACGAAAAUCAUACAUGCAUAUAAACAAUAACAUGCAAAACCUUUUGCUCUUUGUACUUUUUCAGCUCUUUUGUCGCUUACAUACUCAUUGUGUACUUUCAUUUUGAAAUUGUGUUUUAUGAAUAUUGUUGGCUCCUACGACAAAUUGCUAUAAAAUCAUCUGCUGAAUAUUUCUUAAGACUGCAUGUUUAGGGAGGAAUGUAUUGUUGCAUAUGUAUAUCUAGUUUGGUUAAAAAUUGAAUGCAUUAACAAUGCAACACCACUUGAGUGACAGCUAUGCGUUGUGUCGUGACUCCAAACAGAGCUAAUAAAAACAUGCACUUUCAGGACAGCAUGAGUUUACAUGCUUUUAUCAAGGGACUUGCAACUUCACCUUUGUGUAAGAAAUUGCACUUGGGUAUAAAAUGGAUUGGGUGAUUUUGACUUGUUUAAGUAUUACUAUAGCCAUACUUUCUGAUUUAUACUCAUAACCAUUUAUAUUAGUUUAUUUGGCCCCACUUUAUACUAAGUGGCCUUAACUACUAUGUACUUACAUCAAAAAAUAAGUACAAUGUACUUACUGUGUUCAUAUUGUAUUGCAAAACACUUUUGCUGCUAUUGAGGUGGGAUACGGGUAGGUUAGGGACAGGUUUGGUGGUAUGGGUAGGUUUAAGGGUGGGUUAAGGUGUAAAGGAUGGGUCAACUGUGUAAUUAUAAAUGUAAUUACAGAAAUUAAUUACAGAUGUAAUUACAUGCAGGUAUUUUUAAAAUAUAAGUGCAAUGUAAAAACAUGUAUGUACACAAUAAGUGCAUUGUACCAAAUUAUUAAUUUAAAUGUAAG
Molecule: long non-coding RNA, 2285 nt
Organism: Sinocyclocheilus anshuiensis
Lineage: Eukaryota; Metazoa; Chordata; Actinopteri; Cypriniformes; Cyprinidae
Product: serine-rich adhesin for platelets-like
Source: Ensembl